CAUUUCGUUGGCACAGCCGGCCGUAUCUGGCCCUUUCAAGGCUGUAACCGGGGUUCGAAUCCCCGUGGGGUCAC
This 74-nucleotide transfer RNA is filed under the name Anaeromyxobacter sp. PSR-1. RNAcentral describes it as "tRNA-Glu". Lineage: Bacteria; Pseudomonadati; Myxococcota; Myxococcia; Myxococcales; Anaeromyxobacteraceae. The record is from RNAcentral.